Molecule: ribosomal RNA, 358 nt
Filed under: uncultured bacterium
Lineage: Bacteria
Description: bacterial SSU rRNA
Rfam family: Bacterial small subunit ribosomal RNA
Source: RNAcentral
AACGAACGCUGGCGGCAGGCCUAACACAUGCAAGUCGAGCGAACCCUUCGGGGUUAGCGGCGGACGGGUUAGUAACGCGUGGGAAUAUACCCUUUGGUACGGAAUAGCCUCGGGAAACUGAGAGUAAUACCGUAUGUGCCCUUGGGGGAAAGAUUUAUCGCCAAAGGAUUAGCCCGCGUUGGAUUAGGUAGUUGGUGGGGUAAUGGCCUACCAAGCCUACGAUCCAUAGCUGGUUUGAGAGGAUGAUCAGCAACACUGGGACUGAGACACGGCCCAGACUCCUACGGAGGCAGCAGUGGGGAAUUUUGGACAAUGGGCGCAAGCCUGAUCCAGCCAUGCCGCGUGAGUGAAGAAGGCC